GGGAGGGGUCGGGGGAUGAGGGCUGGAAGGCGCCCUGUCCGCACCUCGCUCUGGCGGCGGAUCUCUCCCGCUGCCCGUGCCCUGGGUCCCAGGAAGCGCCCUCGCUGUGUGACGCUAAAUAAGUGUGCACACCUCUCUGAGCCUCAGGGACUUAGAGCAAAAUGGUGGAGCUGGUACCCGGCUGUACGGCAAAUUGGGAGCGGCGUAGGGUAGCGCUUAAGAGCGAGGACUCUGUGGAGUCCUUACUCCGCCGCCAGAUAACUUCCGUAAACUAAGGAUAAUAAUAGUGCCACCUCAUAGGUUUGUUAAGAUUAAGUGAGUUAAUAUUUAUAAAGUGUUUAGAACAGUGUCUGUUUCGUGCUAAGUGCUAUUUAAGUAUUUGUUAGACUAACUACAGGAGGUCUCGCUCCGAGAUUUUCUCCUAACCCCCGUCCACCCCCAACAUUCCUGUUUGCCAGCCAAGCCUUGCUUUAGCACGGGCUGGGCCCUCUGCCUGAAAAUCCAUACCCACCUCUUCUCUGGGCUUUCGCAUCAUUCCUUUGUGAAGUCUUCUCUACUCCUGACAGGACAUGUGAGUCUAUGGCAACAGGUGCCACGUGCCAGACACAGGAUGAAGCUGUAGGCAGAUGAGAGCCUCUCGUGGAAUUGCCAGCUGAGUGGGUAAACAAACAACAAUGGGACAACGGUAAUACAAUGUGACUAUUGCCACAUGGAGUUUUGUUCAGGGUGCCAAAAACCCAGGGAGGAACCAAAGGAAGGCUGAUUCUUGGUGAAGGAACAGGAUCUUAAAGAGAGUGUAGCAUACGGUGGGAACAGCGAGCAUCAAGGCAGUGAAAGAUGGUUUGCAAUGGCUAGAGCACAAGGAAGGCUCAAGGGACAGAGGGAGUGGAGCCUGGAGAGGUCAGAGGGGUGGUCCAUGGAGGGCCUUGAAUGCUGGGCUAAGGAACUAGAACUUUCCACCAUAGGCAAUGGGGAGCCAUCGGAGGAUUGUGAGCUGGGGAGGGACAUGGUCAGAUUUGUGUCUUAGAAUGACAACGUGUGGCAGCUGGUUUGGGGGGAAUGGGCUGGAGCAGGAAAGGCCAGGCAGAGCAGCCAGGAGAGGACGAGACAUAGUCCAGGUGGGAGAAGCCAAGACCUAACUAGGGCAGGACAGGUGGGUGGCUCAGCAGGUGUGAGCACCUCUGGGCAUAAGAACCGAGGUCAGCGUGGGGCAGACAGGCUGCAGAGCUGGCCCCAUCAGGGCGACUGGGCGUUUUCAGGGCUUGAGGUCAAAGACAGGCUGAGGCAGGCAGGAGCUCUAGGAACUCUUGGCCUUUGGGCUGGGGUAGGCUCAAGGUCAGCAGAUGCAGCUGGGUCUGGGUCUAGAGACUUGGGAGGUCCACAGCAGGACUCUAGCCUGCAUGCAGAAAUCAGGGCAAAGUCCAGCCCCGGAAAAGAGUUCCCAGGAGCCAGGCAGGGUGUCAGAGCCCUGGUCCUGAAGGAAGAGGCUACAAGGCAAAGAGCAGAGGACUCCUGCCUCCAGUUCCUUUAUGUCAUGAACCACUUCCCUUCUAUGGCUACCUGUGAAGAUGGGCUGCGGAGGCACCUGGGGCUACUUUCUUGCUCAUGCUUCGUCCGUCUUCAGAUGAGGCUCCCCUCAGACUCAUCUUGAUUCCCAUCCUGGGGAACCGAAGUCUGCAUGGGGUCUGACCUGCCCCUGGCUCCAAGCUCUGGUGAGGAUGGACUCGGGCAUGGCUCCACCCGCAAAGUGUGCGGUUGGAAUGCCACAUUGACCGCCAGGAAGUUUCUUGCAAAGAUAUAUACACUUACAUUACAAUCCAGCAGUCCCACUGGUAAGUAUUUACCCAACAUGGAGGAGAGAGUAUGUUCACCCAAAGACUUGUAGGUAAAAGGCCAUAACAGCUCUAUUUGUAAUAGCCGAAGACUGGAAACGAUCUACAUACUCACUGACAGGUGACUAAAGAAACAAAUUAUACAAUGGGGCACUACUCAGCAACGAAAAAGCAUGAGCUAGUAAUGCAUGCAGCAACAUGGACAAAUGUCAAAGCCAGUUGAAUGAAAGAAGCCAGAAAAGAGAGAGAGCAUACAUAAUGCAUGUGAUUCCAUUUUUAUGAAAUUCUUGGAAAUGCAAACUAAUCUGCGUUGACAGAAAGCAGACCCAUGGUUAUCUGGGAUGGAGGGUGGCAGAGGGAUGACAAGGAGGAUGACCAAGGGGAUGAAGACCUUUCGGAGGUGAUAGAUAAUGUGCAUUAUCUUGGUGGUGGCGAGAGUUUCAAGUGCGUAUACAUGUGUCAAAACUUGUCAGAUUGUAUCAUUUAAGCAUGUGCUGUUUCUGGUACGUAGGUUAUACCUCAAUAAAGCUGUUUGAAAACUCUGAUGCUAGU
Herpailurus yagouaroundi (jaguarundi) is the source of this 2384-nucleotide long non-coding RNA. RefSeq lists it as uncharacterized. The transcript is spliced from 2 exons. The record is from RefSeq and is a predicted model, not a curated record. Lineage: Eukaryota; Metazoa; Chordata; Mammalia; Carnivora; Felidae.